Molecule: long non-coding RNA, 4678 nt
Organism: Globicephala melas (long-finned pilot whale)
Lineage: Eukaryota; Metazoa; Chordata; Mammalia; Artiodactyla; Delphinidae
Source: RefSeq, a predicted model, not a curated record
UUCUUGUAGGUUCUGGUAUUUUUCAUGGUUGUUCUGUAAAUAGCUGUAAUUUUGGUGUGCCCAUGAGAGAAGGUGAGCUCAGGGUCUUUCUACUCUGCCAUCUUGGCCCAUCUCAACCCCACCGGUUUUAACAUCUUGGAAGGUAUGGAACACUCGCACCCAGCACUGCUAGGCAUUUUUGCCUCAAAACCUGAACGUUGGUACAAGACACUUCUCAAGGCAACAAGGUUGGCUUCGGCGCAAACCUUUUCUUAUCCCAAUUCAAAAGCAUCUUCUUCCUGGCCUUGGAAUUCAACAUACAGAUUUGCUUUUUGGGGCUAUGCCAUUACCGGCUGCAUCUGCUGCUUUUAAAAGUUCUGGGAAAAGUAUCAUGCUAGGUGGCAUAUUCUAUCACCAAAAAGUGAAUCAAUUUAGCAGACUGCUUUCCAGAACUAUACUAGCACAUGAAGGGUGAAGAGGAAUUUCCACUUCUAGGUGUAAUUUAUUUCACUUUUAAUUUCUAAAGACCCUAAGAAUUAAGCUAAGACUAACUUUGGCGUAUUAAAACUAAGAGAAAUCUUUGGAUCAUCUAAUCCAAACCUUUUUAAACAAAGGCCCAGGAUAAAGUAAUUCAUUGGCAACCACACAGCUAAUUAAUCCACUUGGCAAAUUGUCAUCUUGCCCCAUAAAAUCUAUUCUGAUCUUUUCUAACUGGCUUCAUGGGGAAAAAUGUAACUUUUUAAGGCUUCUCAGGAAGAGGCUAAUUUAUAUUUUAAACCAUUUUAAAAGUGAGAAAAUGAGGAAAUUUUCAUGUAAUUUAGCAAUUUGCUACAUUGCUCCUUCUUUAUGGGAAAUUGGCACUCUGAGUAUAAAGAGAGGAGAAAAUAUCUGUCCUGUUUUCCCUAUAACCUUGUCUGGAGCUAAACAUCCCCUCAAGGUCAAACUAUCUCCCUCCAUGAACAAAUGCAUUCAUGCUUUGGGGAUCCAAAGAGAAAACAGGUCCUUUCUUUUGAGAAGCCCAUAGUCUAGACAGAGACCAGGUGCGUUCGUAAACAAUAUUAUAAUUCGUAUGGUAGGUAUGAAAGAUCUCACCCAGAGCAGGGGGUACAUUUGUUGCAACUAUCACUCAAGGUUUCAGUGUUACAUUCAAUCUGGGCUGUCAAAGGCUCCCAAGGGCAGUAGAGGGGAGAUGAUAUUUGGAGCAGAUAGCAAGUGCAAAGGCAUAGAGAGAGAGGACAAACCUCUGUAUGUUUAGGGAACAAAUAAUUAGAUGUGACAGACACUUAGGAUGCUUGGGAGAACAUGGCAAGAGAUGAAUUGGGAGGAAAACAUGACUUUAUGAAAAAUUCAAAGGGGUCUGUACGUUUUCUUGUUAGCAAGAGGAAACUCUCAAAGAUUUGUUUUGUUUUUUAAAGAAGGGAGUGACAUGGUCUGUUUUAAAAUAAUAACAGCCUGUGAGUCUUUAAUUCUUAUACAACCUAUUUAAGUCCUUACAGCCCUGCGAUGAAGGCUCUAUAAUUAGGUACUCCCAUCCAACAAAUGAAAAGCAGAAGGAAGCUCAGUAACCAGCUUAAAGUCGCAGCUCAUAAGGAUCAAACCUGAGCAGUUUGGCUCAAAAGGCUCACUCAUCAUGAUGCUACUAGUCAGAUGGGCUGUGGGAGAAGUAGAGGGAAAGAUAUAAAUUAACGUCUGCUUCGGGUCUAAGCCAGUGUUUCCCAAACUUACCAUUCACUUCCUACCUUUACACAACUUUUACCAUCUGAGAACCACUUUUAAUGUGUUUUUAAACCAACUCAUCUCUUUAAACUUAAAUUUUACAGGAAAACCUGAGGAUAACAACAGGAUACCCUAACAGGUAGUCCCUAAGCCUGGAUCCUGAACACAGCUUCCCACACAUGAGACGAACCUGUCACCCAUCUACCACCAGAAAUCAGCUCUAAAUCUCCAGUGCCUUAGAGAAGCAAGCAGCCAGGCUGUGAGCUGUCUAUGGAGAGGACCAAGUAACAGGGAAUGGCAGGCAGCCUCUAGUCGCUGAGGGUGGCCAACGGCCGCAGCCGGCAAGAAUCUAAAGCCCUCAAACCUAAAGUUACAAGGAAAGAAAUUAUGCCAACAACCUGAAAACAGUGUGGAAGCAGAAUCUACCCCCAGUCCAGCCUCCAGAUGAGACCACAGCCCAAGCCAACACCUGGAUCAUAGAUUUGUGAGACCAAGGGCACAGGACCCAUCUACGCUGUGCUCAGACUCUUGGUCCACAGAAACUGUGGGAUAAAUAAUACAUGUGUGCUGUUUCAAGCUGCUAAAUGUACAGUAAUUUAUUAUACAACAUAGAAAACAAACAAAUCUUAAUAUAAAAAAGUAAAAAAAAGUAAAAAAAAGUGAAAGGAAUGUUGAAUUAUUGGCCAUUUGGGAUAUUUAUUAAUGAAGAUCAAGCAUCGAAAGAUCGGUCCUCAAUGCUCAUUUCCAUGAUUUUAAGAGUUGGUCCUUCCAUGUCCUGAUUACCAUCGUUGACACUGCAUAACUGAACAGACGGGGAGAGUGCUGUGCUAAAACAACACAAUUCAUUUGAAGUCUCGACUUUUUCAUUGUCUUUGUCUCCUUCAAUGACAUUCACAGAAGUUUCUUGGUCUAGUAAACUGUCUGACAUACUUACAUUUUUUUCAUCCCAAACUGAAGUUCCAAGAUUCAUUUCAUCAUUUACCUGUUGAAUUAUAACCCCUUCUGAAUCCUGUGAUUUAUAGACAGGCAGGAAAAAUUCAUUUGGUGAAGAGACUAUCUUGUUCUCAUCCUUUGGAACAGACAAUAACAUAGUCAAAGCUUUUUGGUAUUCUUGACGUUCCUGUUGAAUGGCUAAAUCUUGUUCAUUUUUAUAUUCAUUUUGUUCUGAAUUCUCAGCCUUUUCAAAAUCAAGUAAAUGCAACAUACCAACAUCAUCUAGCAUUACUGAGUUUUCCUUGGAAAUGCAGCCUAAGUCCACCUUUAGGAUAUGUAGCAGGUGGCGCAUUUUUUCCUGGAGUUAAAAAAAAAAUACAAGAAUAAUAAUAUUAAUUAAGCUAGUCAAAUUGAAUUACUUUUGUCUGCAGUGCUGCUAACCUCAGCAGGAUUCAUACUUCUUCUUCCACAUUCUGCCCACACCCCUCACCCCCAGAGUACACAUAAAAGCACAAGGGAAAAAAAGUGCUUGCUCUUAAUGCAUUGAUUGAGAGUAUGGUAAAACUUUAAAAUUCUUUCUAUAUUAGAAAUUUUCUAAUGAAGUUCUAAAGACAACAAACCUCCUCCAAAUGAUGUUUAUUUUGUUUUAUAUGUCUCUCAAACAGUCGUUCUAGAAACCUACAAAUGAUAAAUAAAAAUGUUAAUGUCUCAAAAUCAGAAAAUCAACUAAAUAUAAAAUAGCCAUACAAUAAACUACUAAAGGUUGGAAAAUAUGUUUUAGAUUACCCUUUUUCUUUCCAGAGAUAAACACUAAUCCUUCCCUGUUCUGUCAAGUUCUCCAAUUUGGAAGCUAGUAUGGCUUCCACUAUGUUUUAGUUAUGUAACAGAUGCCAAUGUUUCUUCUAAAAAGACUGCAUGCUACUUACAUUUCUGUUAAUAAAAUAUCUUCAGUGACGUUCCACCCCCCACACACAAAAAGUUCUUUAUCUUUUUUCUCUCACACACAUACACAAACAUCAAAAGCCUUCCCCCCUCUUUCUCUUUCACAUAUACAACCCCCCAAAAGCAAACCCCUAAAGAAAAUUCUUUACAAAGAAUUUUGUAAAGCGUUACCUUACAAUGCUUCCAAAUUGUACUUGAAAAAAAUUCCACUCAUAGUAAAUUCACAUAAAAACCUAAAGUUAUCACUUAUUAAGCACCACUAAGUGUUAGACAUUUGUGCUGGACAAAUAAUAAUCAUUAUACGUCUCUGAUCAUGACCAAUACUGGGAGACAAAGGUAUUAUAAAACCCAUUUUAAAAGAUGAGAAAACGACAUAGUCUAAGAUGAUGGUUUACUCUCCCCUAAGGUCACAAGCAAUUAAGAGAAUGAAACCCAGAUAUGUCUGGCUCCAGACACAUUCUUUCAACUACACCAUGCUUGUCUAGCUAUCACAGGAGUACAUCAACCGGUUUCAUUUUACCAUUUGUUACUCUCAGUGAAGUUAUAAGCCAAUCUUAGAUUUAGUUUUUCUGAAUUAUUUGAAAUGUUUAAAAAGUCCAAGAAAUCUGUAUUCUGUAUUUUAAAACUAUCAAUAAUGUUUGGACCAUUCACUUCUGGGCACUGUUCUAUGCAUAUAUAUUUCUUUACCAAAAUUGGGAUUACACAAUACAUACUGUUUUGAUAUCUAUAUUGCUUUUCUAAUCAACUAUAUAUUUUGAACAUCUUUAUGCAUCAAUAAAUUCACUUCUACAACAUCAUUUAAAAUUUCUGAACAGAACUUACUAUUAUAUUCUACAAUUUAUUCAGCUGAACCUUUACUAUUCAACAUGUAGGUUGAUUACAUUUUUUGGUGCUACUAUAAAAAUUGCCAUAAUAAACAGCCUUAUAAUCUAAAAGAAAAAUGUGAGUUUUUUAAGCAUAAAUACACAUUUUUCAUGCCAACCAUUUUUGUUUUGGCUUCUAACCUUUGCUUUAUUGUUUUUAUUUACAGUUGGUAUCAAUGUUUUUGCUGUGGUAGUGGUAAAAAGAACACAUAAAAUUUACCAUCUUAACCAACUUUUUUUUUUUU